GUCCCCAUCGUCUAGUGGCCUAGGACACCGGCUUUUCACGCCGGCAGCCGGGGUUCGACUCCCCGUGGGGACGCCA
This 76-nucleotide transfer RNA is filed under the name Deltaproteobacteria bacterium. RNAcentral describes it as "tRNA-Glu". It matches the Rfam family "tRNA". Rfam says of the family: Transfer RNA (tRNA) molecules are approximately 80 nucleotides in length. Their secondary structure includes four short double-helical elements and three loops (D, anti-codon, and T loops). Lineage: Bacteria; Pseudomonadati; Myxococcota; Myxococcia. The record is from RNAcentral. RNAcentral also lists the same sequence under 4 other names.